RNAcentral lists this ribosomal RNA (482 nucleotides) under uncultured bacterium. Its description in RNAcentral is "partial 16S ribosomal RNA". It matches the Rfam family "Bacterial small subunit ribosomal RNA", at positions 30 to 507 of the family's 1533-position model. The record is from RNAcentral.
AUUGAACGCUGGCGGCAUGCUUUACACAUGCAAGUCGAACGGUAACAGGCCGCAAGGUGCUGUCGAGUGGCGAACGGGUGCGUAAUGCAUCGGAACGUGCCCAGUCGUUGGGGAUAACUACUCGAAAGAGUAGCUAAUACCGCAUACGAUCUAUGGAUGAAAGCGGGGGACCGCAAGGCCUCGCGCGAUUGGAGCGGCCGAUGUCAGAUUAGGUAGUUGGUGGGGUAAAGGCUCACCAAGCCAACGAUCUGUAGCUGGUCUGAGAGGACGACCAGCCACACUGGGACUGAGACACGGCCCAGACUCCUACGGGAGGCAGCAGUGGGGAAUUUUGGACAAUGGGCGCAAGCCUGAUCCAGCAAUGCCGCGUGCAGGAAGAAGGCCUUCGGGUUGUAAACUGCUUUUGUACGGAACGAAACGGCUCUGGUUAAUACCCGGGGCUAAUGACGGUACCGUAAGAAUAAGCACCGGCUAACUACGUG